UACUUGGUAGCUCAGCUAGCAAAGUUUGAGACUCUUAAUCUCGGGGUCGUGGGUUUGAGCCCCAUGUUGGGCGAA
Podarcis lilfordi (Lilford's wall lizard) is the source of this 75-nucleotide non-coding RNA. NCBI's taxonomy places the organism in Eukaryota, Metazoa, Chordata, Lepidosauria, Squamata, Lacertidae. The record is from the annotation of a GenBank genome assembly.